UCGAGCGAGAAAGGGGCUUCGGCCCUGAGUAAAGCGGCGCACGGGUGAGUAACACGUGGGUAAUCUGCCCUAGAGUGGGGAAUAACACCGGGAAACCGGUGCUAAUACCGCAUACGAUCGCGAUGUCUUCGGAUGUUGUGAUGAAAGGAGCAAUUCGCUCUUGGAGGAGCCCGCGGCUGAUUAGCUAGUUGGUGAGGUAAUGGCUCACCAAGGCAACGAUCAGUAGCCGGUCUGAGAGGACGGUCGGCCACACUGGAACUGAGACACGGUCCAGACUCCUACGGGAGGCAGCAGUGGGGAAUUUUUCGCAAUGGGGGCAACCCUGACGAAGCAACGCCGCGUGGGUGAUGAAGUAUCUCGGUACGUAAAACCCUUUCGACGGGGAAGAAACCGCAAGGUUGACGGUACCAGUAGAAGAAGCCCCGGCUAACUCCGUGCCAGCAGCCGCGGUAAUACGGGGGGGGCAAGCGUUGUUCGGAAUUACUGGGCGUAAAGGGCGCGUAGGCGGUCCGCUAAGUUGAAUGUGAAAACUCUGGGCUUAACCCAGAGCCUGCAUUCAAUACUGGCAGGCUAGAGUUCUGGAGGGGAUAGCGGAAUUCCUGGUGUAGCGGUGAAAUGCGUAGAUAUCAGGAGGAACACCGGUGGCGAAGGCGGCUAUCUGGACAGAGUCUGACGCUGAGGCGCGAAAGCUAGGGGAGCAAACAGGACUAGAUACCCUGGUAGUCCUAGCCCUAAACGAUGGAUACUUGCUGUGACUGGGAUUGAAUCCAGUCGUGGCGAAGCUAACGCAUUAAGUAUCCCGC
RNAcentral lists this ribosomal RNA (803 nucleotides) under uncultured bacterium. Its description in RNAcentral is "bacterial SSU rRNA". It matches the Rfam family "Bacterial small subunit ribosomal RNA", at positions 62 to 872 of the family's 1533-position model. The record is from RNAcentral.